UUCAUCCACAGGAGACAGUGCGAACUUGAA
This 30-nucleotide non-coding RNA is filed under the name Mus musculus (house mouse). Lineage: Eukaryota; Metazoa; Chordata; Mammalia; Rodentia; Muridae. The record is from RNAcentral.